RNAcentral lists this ribosomal RNA (429 nucleotides) under Bacteroidota bacterium. Its description in RNAcentral is "Bacteroidetes bacterium partial 16S ribosomal RNA". It matches the Rfam family "Bacterial small subunit ribosomal RNA", at positions 355 to 776 of the family's 1533-position model. The record is from RNAcentral. Lineage: Bacteria; Pseudomonadati; Bacteroidota.
UAGGGAAUCUUCGGCAAUGGGGGGAACCCUGACCGAGCAACGCCGCGUGAGUGAAGAAGGUUUUCGGAUCGUAAAGCUCUGUUGUUAAGGAAGAACGAGUGUGAGAAUGGAAAGUUCAUACUGUGACGGUACUUAACCAGAAAGGGACGGCUAACUACGUGCCAGCAGCCGCGGUAAUACGUAGGUCCCGAGCGUUGUCCGGAUUUAUUGGGCGUAAAGCGAGCGCAGGCGGUUAGAUAAGUCUGAAGUUAAAGGCAGUGGCUCAACCAUUGUAGGCUUUGGAAACUGUUUAACUUGAGUGCAGAAGAUGAGAGUGGAAUUCCAUGGGUAGCGGUGAAAUGCGUAGAUAUAUGGAGGAACGCCGGUGGCGAAAGCGGCUCUCUGGUCUGUAACUGACGCUGAGGCUCGAAAGCGUGGGGAGCGAACAGG